AUCAGGCCAUCGUUGAGGCCCAGACGUUCGCGCAGAUUGUCGCGGUCGGUCUGCGUCAUCUGCUCGUUGGCCAUCAUC
This 78-nucleotide small RNA is filed under the name Sinorhizobium meliloti 2011. RNAcentral describes it as "putative ncRNA". Lineage: Bacteria; Pseudomonadati; Pseudomonadota; Alphaproteobacteria; Hyphomicrobiales; Rhizobiaceae. The record is from RNAcentral.